Long non-coding RNA from Dermacentor albipictus, 3539 nucleotides. RefSeq lists it as uncharacterized. Lineage: Eukaryota; Metazoa; Arthropoda; Arachnida; Ixodida; Ixodidae. The record is from RefSeq and is a predicted model, not a curated record.
CGGCACCUUGCAAUCUACGGCGGUGAAAACGCGAGUGGCAUUCCUCUCUUGCUUGCGUUACGCCUGUGAAAUCUGACAGCGGUGCCAGCAUGUCGUCCGAUCCGCCUUCAACUGAACGCUCGCUGACUGAUGCGGAAGGAGCGCUUUGCUUCUUGCUUGCGUUGCGCCUGUACCUCACAGCGGUGGCAGUAUGGCGUCCGAUCCGCCUUCAACUGAACGCUCGCCAACUGGUGCGGAAGGAGCGGUUUGCCUCUUGCUUGCGUUGCGCCUGUGAAACGUGACAACGGUGGCAGCAUGUCGUCCGAUCCGGCUUAAACUGAACGUUCGCCGACUGGUGCGGAAGAAGCGGGUUGCCUCGUUUCGCAGGGGCCAUCAAAGAAAAUCGUGAAGCUCACUGGCACCCGGAAACUCGCCGACCUCCACGAAAGCCUGCGGACGGGAGGGUUCGUGUACCUGAUGACAGGCAAUGAUUUUCUAACGCAGGCUGUCUGGUAGUGCGGCUGGACAUGCGGAGAAUGCAGUCAAAGGAGAGUUCAAGGAAUUGUCAACGUACACACUGCCUCCGAUGCCCAUCGACGUUGCUGCACACCUCUUAAAUAUUACAGCAGGAGGCAUGCCUGACAAUCUUCAAAAGAAAAUUGAAUGGAUUGCCUACAACUCGUCAUCUCAGACAAUGUACACAAAUAAAUUCUGCAAUGUUGCUGCAAGGAGCCUCAUAAACCAGUACCCAGCACUGAGGAACACAUUGUGCCUUGGCCAUUUCCCAUGGUAUAUGUGCCUAAGAAACAAGUACAAAAACAUGCGAAAGUGAAUGCCACCAGGAUGCCCUGAAGUCGAUGCAGAAGUGAAAGCAAGAAAGGCAAGCGAAAUUGUAACACAUGCUCAAAAUCUGGAUUUUGAAGACGGGUGAUCAGCUACAAGUUUGCAUGCAUAUUUCACUGGAUAAAGUGACUCUCCUUUCUUUGUUAUGUGGCUUAUUUGAAACAUUUAGUUGCUUCUCUUGAUGUACUUGUUCGUUUCAUUUACAUUUUUUUCUUUAACAAAUGCAUACAUGCAAUCCAGCUAUAGCAACUAUAUCUGCAAUGCUGUCAUCAGAGAUAUUGUAGGUGAUCAAAGAAGCAAAAUAUCGCAUCGCCACCUUGAACCUAGAGUGAAACAUUAGUUCAAGAUGUAGUUGUAGAUGAAUUUAUGACUAGUAACACAGCAUUCGCACUGUAAUGUAUAUUUAUAUACAUGCUAAGAUGUAGUGAAAAGUGUGUGGCUAUGCUGCUCUGACACUUCAGUUGUUUUAACCCUUCAUUGAUGAGUUCUGCAUACAGCAUACAAAAAAAAUAUUAAUUUUUCUUGCUGAUUUUUGGCAUUGAGUAAGAAGUUUGUUGUUAAAUGUAUUGAGCCAACACUGAAUGACUGGCAGCAAGUGUCAUUUGUUGGUUUAGAGCAGGAACACAGGAUGGGAAAAAAAAGACAUGGGACUCGUUUUCUUUGGAAAGCACGGUCAGGGGAGACAGACCAGUGCAAGAUCUCCUGUAGUGACCUCAGACACACAAUGCAAAGAGCUCUCUCUACAGAUUCCAAACGCAGCCAUGUGGUUUGGGGAGAAGCCCACUUCCCCCAUACUACUGAAGGAGGUUCUACAAAAUAUCCUUUAUUUUCGUUGAUUAUGCUUAUUCUCAAUGUCUUUUGCACAUUUAGGUAUCAAAUAUUUUGUUUUGUAUUUAUAUGCGCGGUCAUUAAAGGGUUAAACAAAUAAAGUGGUUCCAAUGAAUGUGAAUGUAUAACUUUAGCGACUCUAGUCGCAAUGUGUUGAUCAUUCCACAAUCUUUGUGAGACCACGAAACGGGAACUAGGCAGCAUGAAAAUAACUCAGCAGUACCAAGAAGGAAGCUUCAGCACUUAUACAGUACUACAGAAUACACUUCUAUGCUGUACCUGUGGUGUCCUUUUUAUUAUGUGGUCUUGAUCCCACUAUGGGGAAAUAUUUCUGCUUUGCAAGUGCAUUGCAGUACUUUAAUACGGUAACUGCUUGCUGCAAAAGAAAAGUGUCAUUAGAGUACUGCAUAAGGAUCAUGUGUUAUGAGGCAGUCACUAGACGUGGUAUGUCACAGCACUGAGUUGCCGGCAGCCAUUAUAAUUAGCUGUUUUCUGUGGCAUUGUUAACUUGACUGAACAUAGUGAGCAUUAUUUGAUCAAUAAACAGUACUACAUAAGUCUGGCCCUUAUUAGGAACGUUAUCUCAUCUAUGUGAUGCGCACAACCCGCUUUUGAUGUUACUGAGAUGGAGUGACUCCUUGCAAAGCAGCAGGGUAGUCCUGUUAAUGAUGCUGUCAUUCACACUUACGCAGAUUGUUUAGUAGGCAUUAGCUCAGUGUCAUUCCCCCAUGGAAUCACAGCUUGCAUUUCAUUCAUGUGUAAUAGAAACAUUCUGUAGAUUUCAUGUGAAAAUGUGACAUUGGAGGGCAUUAUGUUAUAAGUUCACGGCAGUGAGCCCCAUUUUUGGAAGACAGCUGUUGUGUCAAAUUACUUACAGCAAAGUGAAGCCAUGUACAUUCUUGCCUUAACUACUGCAGUUUAGUAUGGGCCACAUGACCAAAACAAACAUAAAUAAGGUUCUCGUAUUCCAAAAGAACAUGGUUCGGAUAAUCGCUAAUGUUGAUAAUACAACUACCGCCAAGUGUGCUUUUGAAGCAAUAACAUUCUCAGCAUCAAUCAUUUGUAUAACUUUAGGUUGUUACACAAAAUUUAUUUCUCAAUGGCAUCCACUGUUGAUUUUUAUUCUACUCUGGCAUCUUUGGACAUGCGUCGUGCUAACAUACACACAAGACCUAUUAUUACAUGGAAUAUACCAUGUUUUCGCGCUAAUUAUAAAUAACAAAUUUUGUCUUAUAAAAUGCCCCAUGUUCUAAACACGUAUAAACAUACAAAAGGGUAUACCAAAGCUGAGCUGCGGAAAUAUUUUGUUGAAAUGUGAUUUUAUGUGUUUGCUAGUAGAUGCUGCAUGUUUGCUUCGUUAUUACUUUUAUUAUUUCUGAACAUAUGUGUGACCAUUUCAGCGUUUCGAUUUUACUGUUCAAAUUUUGUGCAAAGAUUAUUAGACUCUGUAUGCAUACAUAGUGAAUGUUUCUCUUUAUUGAAUGUGACUAUUCUAUGUGUGUCUGUUGAAGAUUUCCUGCACCACUCGUGUGCUGGUGCUUGUAGGGGUUUUCUGGACACAGUCAAGCUGUGCAGGCAGCUUUUUGCCAAAAACCUACCCUCCAGUUGAAUCUGGAAAAUGAACUUAUACUUAUAUCCUUAUAGUUAUUUAAAUAUGUUCUGCCUAUUGUGUCUCCACAUGUGUGGGCUUGUGAUGUGCCAGGCCAUUUGUGGUUCGUUCAAAGGGAACAUUUACGCAUGCAUUAUAGCUAUUCUCAGGCUCCUCUAUUCCGGCUGUAAACUGGAUUCUCUGCUUAUAAGAAAUAAGUGUUCCUUGUGAUUACUAUAUGUGCUCUUGCUAAAGGCUACUGUGAUGUGUUCAUGUUCUUAUUGAAUAAAAUGUUUACAAA